RNAcentral lists this small nuclear RNA (110 nucleotides) under Oryzias javanicus (javanese ricefish). Its description in RNAcentral is "U5 spliceosomal RNA (ENSOJAG00000020403.1)". It matches the Rfam family "U5 spliceosomal RNA". From Rfam's summary of the family: U5 RNA is a component of both types of known spliceosome. Lineage: Eukaryota; Metazoa; Chordata; Actinopteri; Beloniformes; Adrianichthyidae. The record is from Rfam by way of RNAcentral.
GCACUCUUGUUUCUCUUCAGAUCGUACAAAUCUUUCGCCUUUUACUAAAGAUUUCCGUGGAGAGGAACAAGAGUUAGAUUCAAUUUUUUGAUGCCUGCAGCAGUAGGGCU